AUGAAGAUACUGGCAUGGAAUUGCAAUGGCCUCCGGAAGGCCCCGGCAGUCCGUGCCCUACUGGACGUCCAACGGAGUUGUAACCCAGAUGUCAUGUUUUUGUCCGAGACACACUUAGAAAGCUAUCCGGCAGAGUGUUUGAGAAAACGUUUAAAGAUGGAUCGGAAACUUGUAUGUGCCGGCGAUGGAAGAAAAGGAGGGCUGCUUUUGCUAUGGAAGAAAGAGGUGAAAAUACACAUACUACAUCUUGACCCCAUGUUCAUUGAUGUGCGAGUAGAGGGCCAGAAUAAUGAGUGGAGGCUUACUGGGAUGUAUGGUGAAUUCAGAUGGGAAAACAAGUACAAAACUUGGGACAGAAUGCGUCAGAUACACCAAAGUAAUAAUCUACCAUGGCUACUGGUAGGGGAUCUGAAUGAAAUCCAAUUCCUUAGUGAGAAAGAAGGGGGAAAUCCUAGGCCACCUCAAUACAUGCAAGCGUUCCAGAAUGCCAUUGACGACUGUGGCCUGAGGGAUUUGGGCUACAUUGGGGAUCGAUUUACUUGGCAGAGGGGGCGUAUACGGGAGAGACUUGAUCGAGGAUUGAUCAAUGAUGGCUGGGCAAACAUGUUUCCAGCGGCUGCGCUACAGAAUAUGCACUAUAACCAUUCUGACCACCGUCCACUCUGUGUGGACACAGAAUACUUUACUCAUGUGACCAGAGAGUUAAACAAUAUGCAUAAUUCUUUCCAUGAUUGGGACCAGAGUUUUGAAGCGCGCUGGUUACGGGAACAUGAGUUCUCAGAUAUAGUUUAA
RNAcentral lists this ribosomal RNA (792 nucleotides) under Triticum aestivum (bread wheat). RNAcentral's name for it is "partial small subunit ribosomal RNA". Lineage: Eukaryota; Viridiplantae; Streptophyta; Magnoliopsida; Poales; Poaceae. The record is from RNAcentral.